GGGGGACAGGGUGACAGGUGGUGCAUGGUUGUCGUCAGCUCGUGUCGUGAGAUGUUGGGUUAAGUCCCGCAACGAGCGCAACCCUCGCCCCUAGUUGCCAGCAUUCAGUUGGGCACUCUAGGGGGACUGCCGGUGACAAACCGGAGGAAGGUGGGGAUGACGUCAAAUCAUCAUGCCCCUUAUGACCUGGGCUACACACGUGCUACAAUGGGCGGUACAAAGGGCUGCGAACCCGCGAGGGGGAGCGAAUCCCAAAAAGCCGCUCUCAGUUCGGAUUGCAGGCUGCAACUCGCCUGCAUGAAGCCGGAAUCGCUAGUAAUCGCGGAUCAGCAUGCCGCGGUGAAUACGUUCCCGGGCCUUGUACACACCGCCCGUCACACCACGAGAGCUUGCAACACCCGAAGUCGGUGAGGUAACCCGUAAGGGAGCCAGCCGCCGAAGGUGGGGCAAGUGAUUGGGGUGAAGUCGUAACAAGGUAGCCGUACCGGAAGGUGCGGCUGGAUCACCUCCU
This 511-nucleotide ribosomal RNA is filed under the name Parageobacillus toebii. RNAcentral's name for it is "bacterial SSU rRNA". It matches the Rfam family "Bacterial small subunit ribosomal RNA", at positions 1021 to 1531 of the family's 1533-position model. The record is from RNAcentral. Lineage: Bacteria; Bacillati; Bacillota; Bacilli; Caryophanales; Anoxybacillaceae.